GGAUAACUGUAGUAAUUCUAGAGCUAAUACAUGCAAAAAAACCUGGACUUUACAGAACAGGUGUACUUAUUAGACUUUAAAACCGAUUACAAUUUAUUGUAAAUUUAAAAUGAAUUAAAAUAAGUUUAUGAAUCGCAGAUCAUUUUGUGAUGAUAAGAAUGAAUUUCUGCCCUAUCAACUUUCGAUGGUAAUGUAGUGGAUUACCAUGGUGAUGACGGGUAACGGGGAAUUAGGGUUUGAUUCCGGAGAAAAGGCCUGAGAGACGGCCAUUACUUCUAAGGAAGGCAGCAGGCGCGUAAAUUACCCAAUCCUAAUACGGGGAGGUAGUGACAAGAAAUAUUGAUAUUGGACCCAAAGGGUACAAUGAUUGAAAUGAGAACAAUAUAAAAAACUUAACGACUAACAAUUGGAGGGCAAGUCUGGUGCCAGCAGCCGCGGU
Molecule: ribosomal RNA, 439 nt
Filed under: uncultured eukaryote
Lineage: Eukaryota
Description: bacterial SSU rRNA
Rfam family: Eukaryotic small subunit ribosomal RNA
Source: RNAcentral